AAUUGGGUCCUACGCAAUGAAAACUCAUGAACUCCGUCAGAUCCGGAAGGAAGCAGCGGUAAGUGAUCCCUUUCGUGUGCCGUAGGGUAACCUGAUUUGAG
RNAcentral lists this signal recognition particle RNA (101 nucleotides) under Alkaliphilus metalliredigens QYMF. RNAcentral's name for it is "SRP RNA; RNA component of signal recognition particle". It matches the Rfam family "Bacterial small signal recognition particle RNA". Rfam says of the family: The signal recognition particle (SRP) is a universally conserved ribonucleoprotein involved in the co-translational targeting of proteins to membranes. Archaeal SRP consists of a 7S RNA and homologues of the eukaryotic SRP19 and SRP54 proteins. Lineage: Bacteria; Bacillati; Bacillota; Clostridia; Peptostreptococcales; Natronincolaceae. The record is from RNAcentral.